AUUAAAUUGAGAUGGAGAUGAAUUUAUAAUUUUCCACUCACAGUUCAGGAGGACUUCUUGGCCGUUAAAGGAUGAAGACCAAGUUGGUUUAUCGAGAUUGAACAAUGAUAUUGAGUGAAGAACAGUUGUAGGAAAGUUGAAGGUUGCUCACUAAUGUUGAAGGAGUUGAUAAUUUGGACAGCUUCAUAUGG
Molecule: long non-coding RNA, 191 nt
Organism: Xenia sp. Carnegie-2017
Lineage: Eukaryota; Metazoa; Cnidaria; Anthozoa; Malacalcyonacea; Xeniidae
Exons: 2
Source: RefSeq, a predicted model, not a curated record